Astatotilapia calliptera (eastern happy) is the source of this 655-nucleotide long non-coding RNA. The record is from Ensembl. NCBI's taxonomy places the organism in Eukaryota, Metazoa, Chordata, Actinopteri, Cichliformes, Cichlidae.
UCCGAGUAAAUGAUGUUUGGGCUUUCCUGAUUUCGGGGACUUCUGCCUGGUUGUUGUUGCCAUGAACACGUCUCAGGUUAACUGCAGUUUAUUUACAGUGUGCGAUGAUCAGACCUUACACGGCGGUGACGAUCCCAGGCUCCCACACAGACACGCGUGGCUCUCCGACAGUUUCCGAAAACUAGAAGGCAAGAAUCUAGGUUUCAAGCAUGCAUUUCCAUGCUGUGGGAAUGAUUUGAUGCUUGGUGCUUUCAGGAGCUUUCAAGAUAAUGUGUUAUUCUGACGAAUGGAAGUCUGCAAAGUGCAGCACAUGUGAGAUCAUGUCUUCAGAGUUCCAGAGGACAGCUAAAGAUCAACACUUGGAAUCAACUCCAGAUCUUCAAUCUGCUUGAUUUGUCUUAAAAUAAUGUGGAAGUGCAGAUGGCUGCCACUCCCUGAGCCUGGCUCUGCUGGAGGUUGUUUGCUGUUAAAAGGGUUUUUGAAGAACAGGACCAGGUCUGGCACCACUCACAGCUGAGUCUUCAACUUUUGGGACAUGAAAACAGCAACAAAUUGUCAAUAAAAACGAGUCUUUGCCAUCUUAUUACAGCAGCUAUUGGUUUGCAGCUGAAUUGAUUAAGUUUGUCAAAAUGUGACAAUAAACUGUGAUAAACAA